Molecule: long non-coding RNA, 1283 nt
Organism: Magnolia sinica
Lineage: Eukaryota; Viridiplantae; Streptophyta; Magnoliopsida; Magnoliales; Magnoliaceae
Exons: 3
Source: RefSeq, a predicted model, not a curated record
AUAUAUGCCAUCCAAAUCCCAAUCUAACGAAUUCUACCAUGAUGAUGUGAUGCCCUAAAAGUAAGGUCUAUGCAAUCAUUAGAUAGGCCAUGCGCAUAAAGCAAUGGACAUCCACCCAAAAACUUCGAAAUUCUCAUGGUAGGCCAUUCGAUUGUUGAAGCCGCCUUAUUUUUUGUACAUCUCACUUUCUUGGUGAAAAGACUUACGGACAAGUAGGAUUCCAUACACAAACAACAGUGGGCCUCUCAGGCAAAGUUGUAGAGAGAGCUAUGCCUUCAAACAUUACAGAGGACCUGACCUUGUACAAACCUUUACCACAUUAUACACAUGCGUCUUCUUUGUGACAGUUUCGACCACUGUCAAUAAAUCCUUACUGUUAGAUUAUGCUCAAAAGUCUCUUUGUCAAGUCUUAGUGCAUGUUUGGAUGGUGAGAAAAGGAAAACAAAAAAUAUCAUGGUUAUUCAAUGAUGAUUUCUUAAGACUUUCAGUAAGAAUAAAUUCUUAUGAAUUAUAACUUUUUUAGUUGAAAAUAAAAUUCUUGUGAAUGGAUUUUGUGAUCCUAUUAACUAUUGUAAGCCUUUUCAAGACUAUUUGUUGUGUACUCUCCUUUAAUUAACACAUUUUCCCCUUUUACUAUUGCAGGUUUCCAGUGGGACUAGUUUUUAAGAUACAUAUGCCCUUCUGAACUUGUCAUACUCAUGUGAUCAGGCAAACAUAGAUACAUAUCUCGUAUCAAUGGUCAAACAACACAUUAUGUUGCUUCUCUUGGCAUUUCUAUUCUGGGCAGUACUGUUUUUUUAAAACAUUGGCAAUGACUGAUUCAUUGGAUGUACAUUGCAGAUAACAAUCUUAAGAAUAACCCAUGGCAUGGAUUUGAUGAGUGGUCGCUCAAGGUAAAAACCAAUGCGCCUAACUGGAGAACUCAAUCGAAACAGCUGCAUGUCACCUUCUCCAAGACCUAUAAACUGCUCAGAGACAUGUUUAUGCAGUGGAGGCAUCUGAAAUGGCAGAAUAUGCACGCAGGCUUAUUGCUGAUGCUGGGAAUCCAUCAUUGGGAGAAUGGAUUACGUUGUGAUUUUAUUUUGCAGUUUAAACUUAAUACCUGACUUUUUUGAGUUCUUUGCCAAACUCAAAGAGAGAUUUCCAUUUUAUUUCCAUGGUUUCUCUGUUUGUGUUGAGAUUUCUAGUCUCUUGGACUGAGGGAGAAAACCAAUCUCUAUUUUUCUUCUUUCCUUUUCUUUUCUUUCUGUUUUUUCAUGUUUUAUGGAUUGGGAUUCCAAGUC